AUUGUAGAAGGACCACAGAGGUACAGAGGACACAGAGUAAUCAUUGAAGUCAUUGAAAAAAAUCUCGGUGUGCUCUGUGCCUCUGUGGUUCCCUAGCUUGACCACAUUGAUUUGCGAUCUAGUUCCCAGGCUCUGCCUGGGAACUCAAUGAAUUGCAGGCUCUGCCUGCUCAGCGUUGGCAAAGAGGCGGAGCCUCAGGAGCGGUGCGUUACCAGGCGGAGCCUGGUAACGAGCAGCUGACAUCACAACCGCUUUA
This 256-nucleotide unclassified non-coding RNA is filed under the name fungal sp. RNAcentral's name for it is "partial internal transcribed spacer region". Lineage: Eukaryota; Fungi. The record is from RNAcentral.